This 77-nucleotide transfer RNA is filed under the name Candidatus Sumerlaeota bacterium. RNAcentral's name for it is "tRNA-His". It matches the Rfam family "tRNA". Rfam says of the family: Transfer RNA (tRNA) molecules are approximately 80 nucleotides in length. Their secondary structure includes four short double-helical elements and three loops (D, anti-codon, and T loops). The record is from RNAcentral. Lineage: Bacteria; Candidatus Sumerlaeota.
GCGGGCGUAGCUCAGUUGGUUAGAGCGACGGAUUGUGGUUCCGUAGGUCGCCGGUUCAAAUCCGGUCGCCCGUCCCA